UAAGAACGGUAGGUAUGGAACGGAGCGC
RNAcentral lists this small RNA (28 nucleotides) under Bombyx mori (domestic silkworm). RNAcentral describes it as "piRNA piR-bmo-1355162". Lineage: Eukaryota; Metazoa; Arthropoda; Insecta; Lepidoptera; Bombycidae. The record is from RNAcentral.